AUGAUCGCGUUGCUCGAGCUGCCGUUGGAAGCUUAGAAGCAGGUGCUACCGUGCUAGAUCCAAAGCGAUCUAUUUAAAAGCCCUCUGUCACGCACGCACACUUACUGACGAAUCCUCUGGCUCUCUCCUAUCACCGCCCGGUGGCGGAUUCCGGAAUUGGUUCAAAAGGCCUUGAUCCCGAACACCCAGGACAGAGACAGAGGACUUUUCCUACCUCUUUCGCCUGCAUCCUUAGAAAACUCCCGUGGAUGAGAAGAUCCCCAGGCCUUUACAAGCUGUUGUUUUACAAAGGGAGAAACUGAGGCAGGGAGAGGCGCUGGAUGUGCACCAGAGCACGUGGUGCUUCAGUGCAUAGCUGAGGGCACAUGGAACAUUCACCAAGAUAAACCAUAUGCUGGAACAUAAAAUUUAUGGAUGUCUCCCAUGAAGCAGAGUCCUUCAGACCCUCACUCAAAAACAAGUCUCAUUUUACAUUAAAUUGGAGGACUAUCUGGAGUCUCUGACCACCGCAUGACAGAAAAGAGAGCAGAAUUGUUGCAUGAUGGGUAACACUCAUCAAUAAUCACCGGCUGCCAAGCCAUCUGGGAGGAGACCAAAGAGCUAUAAAAUAAGUUCAGGCACGGUGGCUCGUGCCUGUAAUCCCAGCACUUUGGGAGGCCGAGGUGGGUGAAUCACCUGAGGUCAGGAGUUCGAGAC
RNAcentral lists this long non-coding RNA (696 nucleotides) under Pongo abelii (Sumatran orangutan). Its description in RNAcentral is "lincRNA". The record is from RNAcentral. Lineage: Eukaryota; Metazoa; Chordata; Mammalia; Primates; Hominidae.